GAUGCUUGAUAGCUGUGGGGAUUGAGCCAGGGGGAAGCACAUAUUAUGCGUCGGUUCUACAAAUGAACAGCAUCCCUAGAUUUCAUUCUCUAGAGACAAGACUGGCCUUUAACUUCAGACCCCUCCUAAGUCUGGGGACUACAUGCAUGGGCCACCACACCCAUCCAGUCAGUCCUUGUUUACUUAAAGGAAGAAUUUAGGCAAGGUCUGUCUAUGCACAGAUGUGUUCUGCUGAGUAUGUGGAACCAUACAAAAACCUAUAAGGGAACUUUUUACCCAGUUAAAGGAACGGGUUGGCUUAUUUUAUAUCAUUUAAGGAUAUAUUCACCUUCCUGCCUCCAUUUCCUUUGUGCUGGGAUUAUAGGCCUGUAUUUAUACCCAUCCAUAUAUUUCUUGAGAAUCAAGCCUUUAGGGUAUUAGGGAUUUUCAGUUAGACUGUGUAGGUCUUUGCAGAAGACUCUGAGGAAAAUUAGUACUGAUCUCUGGGCCUAAUAAAUGAGGGUAGCAGAAACCUGUGGUAAGUCAAGAAUGCCUUGUUUUUCAGACUUAGAUAAGAAGGCAAAUCUCCUCAAGUGUGAAUACUGUGGGAAGUACGCCCCAGCAGAGCAGUUUCGAGGCUCUAAAAGGUUCUGCUCCAUGACAUGUGCAAAGAGGUACAAUGUGAGCUGUAGUCACCAGUUCCGCUUGAAGAGGAAAAAAAUGAAAGAGUUUCAGGAAGCCAGCUAUGCACGUGUUCGGAGGCGUGGACCCCGCCGCAGCUCCUCUGACAUUGCUCGUGCUAAGAUCCAGGGCAAGC
This 796-nucleotide long non-coding RNA is filed under the name Rattus norvegicus (Norway rat). Its description in RNAcentral is "long non-coding RNA NONRATT021813". Lineage: Eukaryota; Metazoa; Chordata; Mammalia; Rodentia; Muridae. The record is from RNAcentral.